AAAAAAAAAAAUUUGUGAAGUUGCCUUGAAAUUUCGAGUAUUCUGUAUUAUUAUUAUUAUUUUUUUUUUUUUACAGUGCAGCCUCCACCUUAGACGAUCUUCACAGAGCUAGUGAUUGGCGGGAAGAUAUUAGAUCCUAAAAGUGUGUGGAAAAGGAAUGAGGCUUAGCCUGCGAGGAUAUGUUGGGCCAAAAUCAUGCUGUGAAAAUAAAUGAAGUAUGUGGACAUGUACAUAAAUUUUAAUUCAAUUUAGGUUCUUGGGAAGCGAUCCUUAAUGACGGCCGUCUGAUUGGUUCACGCGUGGACGCUCCCAGCAUGCCCUGCGAAAGGCUGUCAGUUUGCCCGCAGCAGACCGCAGGCUUCUGGCCAAACAGAGAGCGCCAGACCACAGGUACUUUGCCCUAUCGUUAGCAUACGCUCCUGCACCUCGUCACGGUUCAGGUGCCAGACCACAGGUACUCUGCCCUAUCGUUAGCAUACGCUCCUGCGCCUCGUCACGGUUCAGGUGCCAGACCACAGGCGCUGCUUAGCACUACCGUUA
Long non-coding RNA from Anguilla anguilla (European eel), 540 nucleotides. RefSeq lists it as uncharacterized. Lineage: Eukaryota; Metazoa; Chordata; Actinopteri; Anguilliformes; Anguillidae. The transcript has 3 exons. The record is from RefSeq and is a predicted model, not a curated record.